AACGAACGCUGGCGGCAGGCUUAACACAUGCAAGUCGAACGCAUCCUUCGGGGUGAGUGGCAGACGGGUGAGUAACGCGUGGGAACGUGCCCUUCAGUUCGGGAUAACCCAGGGAAACUUGGGCUAAUACCGGAUACGUGCGAGAGCAGAAAGAUUUAUCGCUGAAGGAUCGGCCCGCGUCUGAUUAGCUAGUUGGUGGGGUAAUGGCCCACCAAGGCGACGAUCAGUAGCUGGUCUGAGAGGAUGAUCAGCCACAUUGGGACUGAGACACGGCCCAAACUCCUACGGGAGGCAGCAGUGGGGAAUAUUGGACAAUGGGCGCAUGCUUGAUCCAGCCAUGCCGCGUGAGUGAUGAAGGCCUUAGGGUUGUAAAGCUCUUUCGUCCGGGACGAUAAUGACGGUACCGGAAGAAGAAGCCCCGGCUAACUUCGUGCCAGCCGCCGCGGUAA
Molecule: ribosomal RNA, 449 nt
Filed under: uncultured bacterium
Lineage: Bacteria
Description: partial 16S ribosomal RNA
Rfam family: Bacterial small subunit ribosomal RNA
Source: RNAcentral